CUUUGGGAUAACCCUCGGAAACGGGGGCUAAUACCGGAUAUGACUUCGCAUCGCAUGGUGUGGGGUGGAAAGUUUUUUCGGCCUGGGAUGGGCUCGCGGCCUAUCAGCUUGUUGGUGGGGUGAUGGCCUACCAAGGCGACGACGGGUAGCCGGCCUGAGAGGGCGACCGGCCACACUGGGACUGAGACACGGCCCAGACUCCUACGGGGGGCAGCAGUGGGGAAUAUUGCACAAUGGGCGGAAGCCUGAUGCAGCGACGCCGCGUGAGGGAUGACGGCCUUCGGGUUGUAAACCUCUUUCAGCAGGGACGAAGCGUAAGUGACGGUACCUGCAGAAGAAGCGCCGGCCAACUACGUGCCAGCAGCCGCGGUAAGACGUAGGGCGCGAGCGUUGUCCGGAUUUAUUGGGCGUAAAGAGCCCGUAGGCGGUUUGUCGCGUCGACUGUGAAAACCCGCAGCUCAACUGCGGGCCUGCAGUCGAUACGGGCAGGCUAGAGUUCGGUAGGGGAGACUGGAAUUCCUGGUGUAGCGGUGAAAUGCGCAGAUAUCAGGAGGAACACCAGUGGCGAAGGCGGGUCUCUGGGCCGAUACUGACGCUGAGGAGCGAAAGCGUGGGGAGCGAACAGGAUUAGAUACCCUGGUAGUCCACGCUGUAAACGUUGGGCGC
Molecule: ribosomal RNA, 666 nt
Filed under: uncultured Micromonosporaceae bacterium
Lineage: Bacteria; Bacillati; Actinomycetota; Actinomycetes; Micromonosporales; Micromonosporaceae
Description: bacterial SSU rRNA
Rfam family: Bacterial small subunit ribosomal RNA
Source: RNAcentral